RNAcentral lists this transfer RNA (72 nucleotides) under Bufo gargarizans (Asiatic toad). RNAcentral describes it as "tRNA-Thr". It matches the Rfam family "tRNA". From Rfam's summary of the family: Transfer RNA (tRNA) molecules are approximately 80 nucleotides in length. Their secondary structure includes four short double-helical elements and three loops (D, anti-codon, and T loops). Further hydrogen bonds mediate the characteristic L-shaped molecular structure. tRNAs have two regions of fundamental functional importance: the anti-codon, which is responsible for specific mRNA codon recognition, and the 3' end, to which the tRNAs corresponding amino acid is attached (by aminoacyl-tRNA synthetases). tRNAs cope with the degeneracy of the genetic code in two manners: having more than one tRNA (with a specific anti-codon) for a particular amino acid; and 'wobble' base-pairing, i.e. permitting non-standard base-pairing at the 3rd anti-codon position. Lineage: Eukaryota; Metazoa; Chordata; Amphibia; Anura; Bufonidae. The record is from RNAcentral.
GCUUCAGUAGCUUAACCAAUAAAGCAUUGGUCUUGUAAACCAAAGAAUGAAAAAUGAACCUUUCCUGAGGCU